RNAcentral lists this ribosomal RNA (407 nucleotides) under uncultured bacterium. RNAcentral describes it as "bacterial SSU rRNA". It matches the Rfam family "Bacterial small subunit ribosomal RNA", at positions 509 to 916 of the family's 1533-position model. The record is from RNAcentral.
CAGCAGCCGCGGUAAUACGUAGGGUGCAAGCGUUAAUCGGAAUUACUGGGCGUAAAGCGUGCGCAGGCGGUUUUGUAAGUCUGUCGUGAAAGCCCCGGGCUUAACCUGGGAAUUGCGAUGGAGACUGCAAGGCUUGAAUCUGGCAGAGGGGGGUAGAAUUCCACGUGUAGCAGUGAAAUGCGUAGAGAUGUGGAGGAACACCGAUGGCGAAGGCAGCCCCCUGGGUCAAGAUUGACGCUCAUGCACGAAAGCGUGGGGAGCAAACAGGAUUAGAUACCCUGGUAGUCCACGCCCUAAACGAUGUCUACUAGUUGUCGGGUCUUAAUUGACUUGGUAACGCAGCUAACGCGUGAAGUAGACCGCCUGGGGAGUACGGUCGCAAGAUUAAAACUCAAAGGAAUUGACGG